AGAGCGAACGCUGGCGGCAUGCUUAACACAUGCAAGUCGCACGGGCAUUUCGGUGUCAGUGGCGGACGGGUGAGUAACGCGUAGGUAUCUAUCCUUGGGUGGGGGAUAACGGUUGGAAACGACUGCUAAUACCGCAUGAUAACUGAGGUUUAAAGGCGCAAGUCGCCUGGGGAGGAGCCUGCGUACGAUUAGCUUGUUGGUGGGGUAAAGGCCUACCAAGGCGACGAUCGUUAGCUGGUCUGAGAGGAUGAUCAGCCACAUUGGGACUGAGACACGGCCCAAACUCCUACGGGAGGCAGCAGUUAGGAAUUUUCCGCAAUGGGCGAAAGCCUGACGGAGCAACGCCGCGUGAGUGAUGAAGACCUUCGGGUUGUAAAGCUCUGUCGGAGGGAAGAACACAAUGACGGUACCCUCCAAGAAAGCCCCGGCUAACUACGUGCCAGCAGCCGC
Molecule: ribosomal RNA, 450 nt
Filed under: uncultured bacterium
Lineage: Bacteria
Description: SSU rRNA
Rfam family: Bacterial small subunit ribosomal RNA
Source: RNAcentral